Molecule: ribosomal RNA, 352 nt
Filed under: uncultured bacterium
Lineage: Bacteria
Description: bacterial SSU rRNA
Rfam family: Bacterial small subunit ribosomal RNA
Source: RNAcentral
AGAGUUUGAUCAUGGCUCAGGAUGAACGCUGGCGGCGUGCCUAACACAUGCAAGUCGAACGGACUUACAUUGAAGCCUAGCGAUAUGUAAGUUAGUGGCGGACGGGUGAGUAACGCGUGGGUAACCUGCCUUGUACUGGGGGACAACAGUUGGAAACGACUGCUAAUACCGCAUAAGCGCACAGCUUCGCAUGAAGCAGUGUGAAAAACUCCGGUGGUACAAGAUGGACCCGCGUCUGAUUAGCUGGUUGGUGAGGUAACGGCCCACCAAGGCAACGAUCAGUAGGGGUUCUGAGAGGAAGGUCCCCCACAUUGGAACUGAGACACGGUCCAAACUCCUACGGGAGGCAGCA